UAGCCAAGGAUGACUUGCCUGUAUCCUCUUAGAGGCCGGCCUGCGCGCCUGUCUCUAUAUUAUCAUACAUUGGAAUAUAUCAUCCUUGUGUGGUUAAUAGGCGGGCCUGCCUGUCUCUAUAUUAUCAUACAUUGGAAUAUAUCAUCCUUGUGUGGUUAAUAGGCAGUCUCCUUGGCUAAC
This 180-nucleotide microRNA precursor is filed under the name Aquilegia coerulea. Lineage: Eukaryota; Viridiplantae; Streptophyta; Magnoliopsida; Ranunculales; Ranunculaceae. The record is from RNAcentral.